This 301-nucleotide ribosomal RNA is filed under the name uncultured bacterium. RNAcentral describes it as "partial 16S ribosomal RNA". It matches the Rfam family "Bacterial small subunit ribosomal RNA", at positions 510 to 808 of the family's 1533-position model. The record is from RNAcentral.
CAUCGCCACGGGAAUACGUAGGUGGCAAGCGUUGUCCGGAAUUAUUGGGCGUAAAGGGCUCGCAGGCGGUUUCUUAAGUCUGAUGUGAAAGCCCCCGGCUCAACCCGGGAGGGUCAUUGGAAACUGGGAAACUUGAGUGCAGAAGAGGAGAGUGGAAUUCCACGUGUAGCGGUGAAAUGCGUAGAGAUGUGGAGGAACACCAGUGGCGAAGGCGACCCUCUGGUCUGUAACUGACGCUGAGGAGCGAAAGCGUGGGGAGCGAACAGGAUUAGAUACCCCCGUAGUCCCUGUCUCUUAUACA